GGCGAACGGGUGAGUAACACGUGAGCAACCUGCCCUAGGCUUUGGGAUAACCCUCGGAAACGGGGGCUAAUACCGAAUACGACCUUUGGACGCAUGUCUUUUGGUGGAAAGUUUUUCGGCCUGGGAUGGGCUCGCGGCCUAUCAGCUUGUUGGUGGGGUGAUGGCCUACCAAGGCGACGACGGGUAGCCGGCCUGAGAGGGCGACCGGCCACACUGGGACUGAGACACGGCCCAGACUCCUACGGGAGGCAGCAGUGGGGAAUAUUGCACAAUGGGCGGAAGCCUGAUGCAGCGACGCCGCGUGAGGGAUGACGGCCUUCGGGUUGUAAACCUCUUUCAGCAGGGACGAAGCGUAAGUGACGGUACCUGCAGAAGAAGCGCCGGCCAACUACGUGCCAGCAGCCGCGGUAAGACGUAGGGCGCGAGCGUUGUCCGGAUUUAUUGGGCGUAAAGAGCUCGUAGGCGGCUUGUCGCGUCGACUGUGAAAACCCGCAGCUCAACUGCGGGCCUGCAGUCGAUACGGGCAGGCUAGAGUUCGGUAGGGGAGACUGGAAUUCCUGGUGUAGCGGUGAAAUGCGCAGAUAUCAGGAGGAACACCGGUGGCGAAGGCGGGUCUCUGGGCCGAUACUGACGCUGAGGAGCGAAAGCGUGGGGAGCGAACAGGAUUAGAUACCCUGGUA
Molecule: ribosomal RNA, 680 nt
Filed under: Micromonospora auratinigra
Lineage: Bacteria; Bacillati; Actinomycetota; Actinomycetes; Micromonosporales; Micromonosporaceae
Description: bacterial SSU rRNA
Rfam family: Bacterial small subunit ribosomal RNA
Source: RNAcentral